This 542-nucleotide ribosomal RNA is filed under the name soil fungal sp. DM014. Its description in RNAcentral is "eukaryotic LSU rRNA". It matches the Rfam family "Eukaryotic large subunit ribosomal RNA", at positions 85 to 653 of the family's 3401-position model. The record is from RNAcentral. Lineage: Eukaryota; Fungi.
UACGGCGAGUGAAGCGGCAACAGCUCAAAUUUGAAAUCUGGCGCAAGCCCGAGUUGUAAUUUGCAGAGGAUGCUUUUGGCGCGGUGCCUUCUGAGUUCCCUGGAACGGGACGCCGGAGAGGGUGAGAGCCCCGUACAGUUGGACACCAAGCCUUUGUAAAGCUCCUUCGACGAGUCGAGUAGUUUGGGAAUGCUGCUCAAAAUGGGAGGUAAAUGCCUUCUAAAGCUAAAUACCGGCCAGAGACCGAUAGCGCACAAGUAGAGUGAUCGAAAGAUGAAAAGCACUUUGAAAAGAGGGUUAAACAGUACGUGAAAUUGUUGAAAGGGAAGCGCUCGUGACCAGACUUGCGCCCGGCGGAUCAUCCGGCCUUCUGGCCGGUGCACUCCGCCGGGCUCAGGCCAGCAUCGGUUUUCCUGGGGGGAUAAAAGUGGCGGGAACGUAGCUCCUCCGGGAGUGUUAUAGCCCGCCGCAGCAUACCCCCGGGGGGACCGAGGACCGCGCUUCGGCAAGGAUGCUGGCGUAAUGGUCACCAGCGACCCGUC